This 1491-nucleotide ribosomal RNA is filed under the name Klebsiella pneumoniae. RNAcentral describes it as "bacterial LSU rRNA". It matches the Rfam family "Bacterial large subunit ribosomal RNA", at positions 1 to 1530 of the family's 2925-position model. The record is from RNAcentral. Lineage: Bacteria; Pseudomonadati; Pseudomonadota; Gammaproteobacteria; Enterobacterales; Enterobacteriaceae.
GGGUUGUGAGGUUAAGCGACUAAGCGUACACGGUGGAUGCCCUGGCAGUCAGAGGCGAUGAAGGACGUGCUAAUCUGCGAAAAGCGUCGGUAAGGUGAUAUGAACCGUUAUAACCGGCGAUGUCCGAAUGGGGAAACCCAGUGCAAUUCGUUGCACUAUCGUUAACUGAAUACAUAGGUUAACGAGGCGAACCGGGGGAACUGAAACAUCUAAGUACCCCGAGGAAAAGAAAUCAACCGAGAUUCCCCCAGUAGCGGCGAGCGAACGGGGAGCAGCCCAGAGUCUGAAUCAGCUUGUGUGUUAGUGGAACGGUCUGGAAAGUCCGACGGUACAGGGUGAUAGUCCCGUACACCAAAAUGCACAGGUUGUGAACUCGAAGAGUAGGGCGGGACACGUGGUAUCCUGUCUGAAUAUGGGGGGACCAUCCUCCAAGGCUAAAUACUCCUGACUGACCGAUAGUGAACCAGUACCGUGAGGGAAAGGCGAAAAGAACCCCGGCGAGGGGAGUGAAAAAGAACCUGAAACCGUGUACGUACAAGCAGUGGGAGCACCUUCGGGUGUGACUGCGUACCUUUUGUAUAAUGGGUCAGCGACUUAUAUUCUGUAGCAAGGUUAACCGUAUAGGGGAGCCGCAGGGAAACCGAGUCUUAACUGGGCGUUAAGUUGCAGGGUAUAGACCCGAAACCCGGUGAUCUAGCCAUGGGCAGGUUGAAGGUUGGGUAACACUAACUGGAGGACCGAACCGACUAAUGUUGAAAAAUUAGCGGAUGACUUGUGGCUGGGGGUGAAAGGCCAAUCAAACCGGGAGAUAGCUGGUUCUCCCCGAAAGCUAUUUAGGUAGCGCCUCGUGAACUCAUCUUCGGGGGUAGAGCACUGUUUCGGCUAGGGGGUCAUCCCGACUUACCAACCCGAUGCAAACUACGAAUACCGAAGAAUGUUAUCACGGGAGACACACGGCGGGUGCUAACGUCCGUCGUGAAGAGGGAAACAACCCAGACCGCCAGCUAAGGUCCCAAAGUCAUGGUUAAGUGGGAAACGAUGUGGGAAGGCACAGACAGCCAGGAUGUUGGCUUAGAAGCAGCCAUCAUUUAAAGAAAGCGUAAUAGCUCACUGGUCGAGUCGGCCUGCGCGGAAGAUGUAACGGGGCUAAACCAUGCACCGAAGCUGCGGCAGCGACACUAUGUGUUGUUGGGUAGGGGAGCGUUCUGUAAGCCUGCGAAGGUGACCUGUGAGGGUUGCUGGAGGUAUCAGAAGUGCGAAUGCUGACAUAAGUAACGAUAAAGCGGGUGAAAAGCCCGCUCGCCGGAAGACCAAGGGUUCCUGUCCAACGUUAAUCGGGGCAGGGUGAGUCGACCCCUAAGGCGAGGCCGAAAGGCGUAGUCGAUGGGAAACAGGUUAAUAUUCCUGUACUUGGUGUUACUGCGAAGGGGGGACGGAGAAGGCUAUGUUAGCCGGGCGACGGUUGUCCCGGUUUAAGCAUGUAGGCUGGUU